UUUAACUGGCAUUUAGAUGCGUGCCUGCAGCACCCUCAAGAAUGACAAUAUUUGACCAUCUGUCUCCCGCCCAGCAAGCUCUCCAUGCUUCGAAACAGUAGCAUCCCGUUCAGGGCCAGCGAUUUGGAGCAGAGAGAAGCCGAAAGAGAUGCAAAAGGAGAGACUGACCCUUGGGGAGGAAGAGGGAGUCUCUUCUCCCCUUUUCUGUUGUCCUUUGGGGGUGGGUGGGCAAUCGGGGGGCCUGGGAAGAGGAGCCGAGAUGGGGUGUCACUAGCCAAAGGUGGCACAUGGAGGCUGGAGGGACCUCGCGUCUCAGCCCCGUGGAGACGGCUCUGUUGUUGUCUCUUGCAGCCUUCCCGCCUUCUUGUCCUUGGGCUCUGUGCCCAAUGCUUGCUGUCAGCACCUCCUCCCUGAGCCAGCGCCUGGCAAACGCAGCUAUGAGAUCAUGGGGCUGGAGCCCUGAGCAGGAGGCAGUAGGUCUCCCUGCGGCCGGCAGGAGGGAUUCCAGCAACAAGGAGAACUUCCAGCUCUGUCUCAGUGUUCCCAGCUUUCUCCACACCCUAGGGGAGCAGCCGGAAUGUCCCUCUCCUCCUGAAGAGUCCUCCUGGGAUGAUUGUGCCUGAGGCAGGCUCUGUCUCUUCAGCUGAGCGGGGGCUGCGGACUGGGCAGCGGCCCCUGGAGGUGAGGCUGGGGAUUGCGGCUUCGUACCGGCUUUGGCUCCCUGCUGGCUCACGUUCUCACCCCAGGCAUUCUGAAAGUCACACUUGUUUGUGUAGGGUGUGCCUGAGUAUGUGAAGGUGUGUGGAGACUUGGGCGAGUGUGUCUGGUGUGGGUGUGUGAUUGGAGCGUGUCUAUGUCUGUGUAGAGUGUGUACACGGGUGUGCGUGUGUGUGAAUGGAAUGCGGGCUCCCGCAGGCUGUUGCCCGCGUGUAAGCCCCUUGUAUACUGGUGCGUGUGCACGCUCCAGAGCACGUGUGACAGUGGAAAGGCACAUGUUUCUGUGGGUACCUGGAGGAGCUUGAGGGCUCUGACAGGUAGGAGCUUGUCUGUGCCUGGCGACGCCAGUGAGCAUGGGAGUAGCAUGAGGACACGUGUGUGUGUGUGUGUGUGUGUGUGUGUGUGUGUGUGUGUGUGUGUGUGGCUGUGAGCCCGUGCACGGGGCUGCUUACAGUGUGCACCUGGGUGUCCAAGAUGGACUGGCUGCCUGUGAGGUAGGUUUGUGGGUACACGUUAUCACUGCAGUGUGGAGGAUAGGAGACCUCCAGAAGGGUGACUGUUUGGAUCUGUAGUGCCAUAGACACAUGUGAGCAUCAAGGAGGGCGAGGGGGAAGCUGUCUCUGUGUACGUGCGGAGCAACUCCUCCUAGGCCAGUGGUGGGGCUGGGCUGAAAGGGGAAGUAGUGAUUUAUAAGCUUUUAAAGAAAUGCCUCCACCCCCAGUUGGGCCCCAGUUAUAGUGAGUCCCACGCAUCACUCAGGCCUGACAUCAUCCAGGCACCUGAAACCACAGGAAUGAGGAGAGACUGCCUCCCCGACCUGCCCACCCGCCUCAGGCUGAUGCCUGGGAGAGCAAGCAUGUUUCCUUCUCUGAAGAACGUACUGGGUGCAGGGACCCACUGCCCAGCUGAUGCCCCCGUCCCAACCAGAGAUCCCUCCCCGGGCGCCGAGGCAGCAUAUGCUGACAGGGUGUGGGAUACCUGUGGGACACCUUGGUGGACCUGGGGUCCAGGAACCCCUUUCCCAGCCAAGCCAGGCUCCUCCAGGAGAGCUGGGUGGGCCUCCUACAGGCUGCCCUCAGGGACUGAGUGGCCAU
Kogia breviceps (pygmy sperm whale) is the source of this 1811-nucleotide non-coding RNA. Lineage: Eukaryota; Metazoa; Chordata; Mammalia; Artiodactyla; Physeteridae. The record is from RefSeq and is a predicted model, not a curated record.